This 18889-nucleotide long non-coding RNA is filed under the name Sorghum bicolor (sorghum). Its description in RNAcentral is "long non-coding RNA (SBIC_LNC006133)". The stretch from base 3867 to 3975 matches the Rfam family "MIR5565 microRNA precursor family". The record is from RNAcentral. Lineage: Eukaryota; Viridiplantae; Streptophyta; Magnoliopsida; Poales; Poaceae.
AAGAAUGAAUCAUCGUGAGUGUCUCCAGGAAGCUUCAGUUAUUUCAGGCUUCAACUAUAGUAUUAAUACAUAGGUAGGGGUGGUAAAUUCAAUUACUAUAAUUCAAACUUAAAAAUAGAAAACCAUUAUCAAGCACUUAAAAUAGAGUAGUUCAAAUCUAAAAACCAUUCUGGCUAUUCUUUGCAUAUCCUGGUCAGAUGGUUCAAUUUACAUCAUACUAAAGAAAAAAAAGCAGACUAAACUGUACUUACAAUCAGGUGGUUCAGUUUGCAUAUCAGGUGGUUCAGUUUGCAUUCUAGGAAAAAAGCAUAUCCUAAUCAGAUGGUUCAGUUUGCAUAUCCUAGUCAGAUGCCAAGCUUAACAAAAGAGAACCAUUACAUUAGAAUUUUUUAUCUACAAGCCAAUUCCUUUACACGUCUGGGGACUGAUGGAUUAUAAGUCCUAUUGAGUGGGUUUGUGUAGUGACUGAUGCUAUUAGCCCAUAAAUAUAAAAAUACAGUAAAGCCUUGCUUACAAUUAUAGCUAGCAUCUAUUAAUCAGAAACAAAUGAAUAAUAUUGUCUCUCUCAUAAGGUCCAAACCGAUGUGGGUCUUAAUUGAUCAAAAGCAUGCCGACAUUUGUUAAGUUCAACAAGCUAUUUUUCAAUCUAUCUUUAUCUAGUGCUAAAUGCCGACAUUUUUACUCAAUGCAUAACUGAAUCAAUAAAAAGACAAAAAAAAUCGGUAUUUAACUGAAUGGACCCCAAAUCGCAUAACUAAAAAGAAAAACAAAAGGAGAGAAUCAGAUAAAAAGACACAAAAAAAAAUCCCCAAAUCGCAUAACUGAAUGAACUCCAAAAUAAAAAGACACAAUCGGAGGAAAUCAGGUAGAAAAAAAUAUCAAUGGGUAGCAACGGCGGCAACCUGAGUUAAAGGAAACCGAGAAAGAUAAAGGGAUCCAGCACUGGUGGCGGAGAGGAGCCAUUAAUUAUAUUAUCACUAGUAAAGGAAUAGACAAGUUCAGAUACGGAAUAUACAAUAUCAGAAACAAAAGCUAGCUACCUGAUCACACGGCUACCUGAACAAGUAACUUUCACAGAACCAUUAAACUAGCUAGCUACGGAGCAUUUAUAAAAAUAAAAAAAAAAUACUUUGCAUGGCAUUUCAGAGAACCAUUAAAAAAGUACUCUCUAACUAACAAAAGAAACACCAGCACACAUAUAGGGAGAAAGCAAUAGUUUCAAAGCUGUAAAAUUAUCACGAUAGCAAAAACAACGUUGUUGCUAUCAAAAGUUGGAAUGGAGUAAAGUCAAGUACUCAAGUUACUAAUGAAUCUUGUACUGCCAACACUGAAGGAACAAGAACUAAUUUUUCUAAAUUUAAAAUGAUGCAUGGCAUUUAGUUAACUAAAACAAAUUAUGUGUUUCUUGGUGAAUCAGCCAUAGACCUUGUGAAUCAGCUGGAACCAAGCACAUAGUCACAGGUAAAUACCAGGACUGACUAAUCUUGGUGCCAAGCUCUAGACAGAUAGGCAACAUAAUUCAAAGCUUUUUUGUGAAAACCAGAGAGCGUGUUACAUUUGCCCGACCCGUAUCUUUACUUGAGUAGAAAAAAUUCAAAACAAAGCCAUUAUGUGUUCUGGACAAAGAGAACAAUCUUAUUCCAUUUCAAGACCCCCUGGCAAGUCUAAAUGAAAAUAUUGCAGAGCAUAACAAUACAGCAGGGGCAUAACGAGAGCUAAAUCAAAGAGCUUAGCAUGAUAUCAGUACCUAGCCCAGAUGCAUUUUAGUACUUAGAUGCAUUACAACCAAAAACUCAAACAGUCGACAAUAUCAGGUAAUAAAAAAUAUAAAGCUUCAUUCCGUGUCAUCUCUACUCUUUAGUGUGUUCACAGCAAUAAUGACAAGAUAUCUGAACUUGUCUAUUCCUUCACUAGUUAAUCUUUUUGCGCUUUUGUGCUAUAUAGUUAUAUAUAGAAUAAUUAUAUUUUGUAUGUCAAACCUGAUAAUUAUAUUACAUUUCAGAUUAUGUUAUACUAGUCAUAAUUAUAUUAUCACUAGAGGACUACCAAAGUACUAGUAACUAGUAGUAGUGUCAUCAGUUAGGCAGCAAGCUGAUCACAUGGCAGCAAGCCAUUCCGUAUUUUUACUUGAGGAGAAAAACAUUCAGAACAAAGCCAUUAUGUGUUCAGGACAAAGAGAACAAUCUUAUUCCAUUUCUAGACCCUCUAGCACUGGGUGAUUAAAAAAUGAUAAGAAUUUUCAGUAGGGCCAUAACAAUACUAGAUGCAUUUUAGUACUUAGAUGCAUUACAACCAAAAACUUAAAACGUAAUUUCUGGUUCGGUCAAGAGUUAAUAAAGGUAUCUGUAAAAGUAAAAAAAAAAAGUCAUUACAAAAAAUUACCUGCAGACUACUAGACUUAGUUCUUUGAAUAGACUAUAAGAUAAAACUUAUAUAAACCAAAACAAUUCAAACCUUAUUGACAGCAGCAAAUCAAUAUCAAAAAACUAAGUGCAAAAUAAUCAAAUAACCAAGUGUACUAGGACUAUAUUAAGAGCACUUCGACAAUAUCAAAAAACUAAGUGCAAAAUAAUCUAAAAACCAAGUGUACUAACUAUAUUAAGAGCACUUCGGCAAUAUAAAAAAACUAAGUGCAAAAUCAUAUUUAGUAACGAGAGCAACUUAAUUUGAUGAAAACAAAUUGUACCUGGGAAUACGGUAUUAUGUGCAGAUGUGGUGGGUCCUAAGAAGUAAGCACCAUUUUCUGCAAGAAGCAUCUUCAAGAUUUCCUUCUUCUGAGUCACUCAUGGUCACUAUAUGUGAGGAAACCUGCUUAACCAAAAAAAAUGAGAUAAACUGACCUCAUAUCGAUUUGGACAGAUUUCUUAGAGAGAGGAAGCAGAGCAGUCAAUGUACCAGAUCUAACAAUGUGACCACCGAGAGGAGAGGACGAUUGUCGUUUGCGAAGAGAAGUGAAAAUAAUCAAGACAUAUGCAUCACGGAUUGAAGAGACAGAGUGAGAGAGAUCUAGGAAUCAGAUCUGAAGGGCGAGAGUGCAACAGAGAGAGAUACGAAGAGAGAGACUGAAGGGCGAGGGUAGAGAUGGAAAGGUUGAAUGCACCGGUGGUUGAAGAGACGGAGGUUGAAGAUGACGGCGGUUGAAGAUGACGAUGGACAGAGAGGUUGAAGAGACGGAGGUUGAAGAUGGAGUGGGCAAAGAGAGAGAGACAGAGGUUGAAGAUGACAGCGGACAGAGAGGGGCCAGUAGGCUACGAACAGAACAGAGAAGGAAAUGAGAAUGGCGACAAGUUGGGUAAGGGGAAUCACGGUUGAGAAAGAAGUGAAACCCAGGAAUGUUGUAGCAGAGAUAGAAAAAGAGAUGGGACAAAGGGCUGCUUUUUUUACCCGAAUCUUGAAGAGCUCUUGGCCGGACGAUAAGCAACGCGCGAGCUUGCCGUUGUGAAAAUACCGGGUUGUGCCCUUAUCGUUGACAUGGUACAAUCACUGAAUCGCAAAUCGACAGAAAGCACGACAAGAACUCUGCUAACUAAUGACUAUAGUUUUAUCACAAAUCAUGAAAAUUUGUCAUGAUAUGAAUUUGUGACAAUGGCUGAAUGGCAUGACAAAAAUGACUCUCUAUAGCUAGUUCUCCCUAAUUCCACCAACUACGAAUCGAAUUUUUUCAUCAUAAGGCCUGUUAGAAUAUCUAUUCUUAGUAAGUUGUAACUCUGUCCUUAGAAAGUCGUAACGUGUUGGGAUUGUCCACACGGUUGUAGAUUAAACUCUAAUCAUGUUGUACACCUCCCAUAUAUAAUGGAAUACCGAGGAGCCAUGAAGGCAUCCAGUUUCUGUUAUUUGCGUAUCUUCCUAUAAGGCCUUGUUUAGAUGUAGACGGAUUCGCAUCAAUCCACAUGUGUUGGGGUGGAUUGGAGUGAAAUUUAAACUAAAUUUCACCCCAAUCCACUCCGACACAUGUGGAUUGAGGUGAAUCCGACAACAUCCGAACAAGACCUAAUAUAAUUUGUACAGCAACGUAUAGAAUUUGUACUAUAUACAUGGCGUGUAUAUACAUACACAGCUACGACGUCGUAUUAUACGCUGGUUAAUUACACCGGCGGCAGCUCAUCAUCAUCAGCUGAUGACUCUGGUGCCUCAGCCGCAUCUCUCGUUGUUGCCACUGCUUUGACCGGCGGCGAGACCACGCACCGGCACAUCGGGCACGUCCCGUGCGAGUGCAGCCACAUGUCGAUGCACCCGACGUGGAAUAUGUGCCUGCACGCCGGCACCUGCCGCACCAUCUCGCCGGCGCACACGUCCUCCAGGCACACCGAGCACACGACGCUGCAGCUCGCCGCCGCUGGCUCGUCGACCUUUAGCGGGCACUGGAACGCGAACGCCGGCGGCGCGUUCACUUGACGAGCGCACGUCGGGUAUCCCGGCCACGCGGGGCGGCGGCCGGUGACCGUGACAACGGCCAGCUCCGCCGCGCUUGUGUUCGUCGCACCCUGCCGCCCUGUUGUUGUUGGCCGACGACGACGGAGCCACCCCUUGGGCGCGAAGCAGCCGCCGACGCCGAGCAGCAGCGCGGCCAGAGCGGCGACGACGGCGAGCGCCUUCCAGACGGUGACGGAGGCGGCGAGCACGCAGAAGAGGAAGAUGGACACGCACACGACGGCAAUGCCGUAGAAGGGGUUGCAGCUGCCGUCGUCGACCUCAUCGACGACGCCCUCGUCGUCGGCGUUCCUCGCCUGGAGCUGGUGCCUUGGGUACAAUUUGAGCAUGGUGAUACAGCACCAGUGAGUGCGUGAGAAGCUGCUUGCGUGCAGCUCUUCAAUCGUGUGCACUGAUGCCAUGAACGAAACGUUUUCGCGGCAAUUUAUAGUGUUCUCCAUGGGGGGUUUUUGGUUUGGCACCAGGCGGCUUUAGCGUGUCACUGCUGCAGUUUGGUCAAUAUUUUCAUGGCGAAUUUUAAUAAAUGAACAUUCAGCCACCUGUUCAUAUACUACGCAUGUGUGACUUUAUCCGGAUGAACAAUUCAUAAUUAAUAAUGGAUUACAAUUACAUAUACGUAUUACUACUGACCACCGCCCGGCGGAAUUGAGAGCUAUGGCUUGUUCGACACGGUGUGUCCAGCCGCCGGCACGGCCACGUACAGGAACUGCACGGCGGCCGACCCUCUCUGUACCAGCGAUAUAGUUUUCCAAACGGGCCGCCCGGCACGGCACGGCACGGGCACGGGCGCAACAUGGCACGGCACGGCUAGGCACGGGCACGGCAGGCACGGCGGCACGCCGUGCCGUGCCUGAUAGUGCCAACGUGCCGUGGUGAUGGCCCAGGCACGGCACUAUCAAGCAGAAAUCGUGUCGUGCCGUGCCAACAGGCCCGAUGGCACGGCAGUGCCCGUGCCAGCCCAGGCACGGCCACAUUUUUGAUAAAAUACUUCAUUAGACUCUGAAUUAAGUCAACAAGCAGAUUAUGAUAUCUAAAUUGCCACAAAAGAACCAGAGAAAGAAAACCAAAGGAAACACACGAGCUAAGAAAAUAGGAGCAUGUGCAAUGGCUGCCUCAUUAAAACCUGCUAGGUAAAACUCACCCUUGUGAGAAACCCUAGUCAGGAAAAGGAAAAAGAGUACAGCCUAGCCCUCUAAAAGUUCAAUACUUCAAUGUUCUUACUUGUCCAAAUUCUCAUAUUACAAACCCUUCAAGCCAAAAUAAAGAAUAAACAUGAAGACUAUGACUAAUGCUCUAAUGCAGGCCCAAGUCUUCAAAUGCUUCAAGCUCCCAGACUCUUCAUGCUUCAAGCUCUAGGUCCCAGCUGCAAAAGAACAGAGUUAGAAUAGGAAUAGGUUAAGAGACAUCAGUUAGCAACAAAAAAAGUUUGAGGUGUUAUUUACCUUGGCGACCGGAGCACUAAUCAAGAUAGAGUUGUUCAAACUCUUCUUCAAGCUCCUUGUCCUCCACAUUGUGUUGUAGCCGUGCCUCCGCCAGCUCCCAAUCCUUGAUGCAGGUAAGCCACUCCACCGUCUUCGGCUUUAGCCUCCUCCGCCGCUCCUCGAUGAUCCUACCAGUCAUACUAAACGUAGAUUCUGAAGAUAUGGUAGACACAGGAACAGUUAAAAUAUCUUUAGCCAUGAUGGACAGCACUGGAUAUGUCAGUUUGUGCUCAUGCCACCAUCUCAAGAUGUCAAAUGCAUCAUCCAACUGGCUCACAGUGUCACAGCCAAGUAUGAGACAAGUUCAGAAGAAUUUGAAGCUGUAGUAGUUGCAGCAUGCAGCAAAGCAGUAGCAGAUGUAUCUCUAGACAGGUUAAGAGUAGAAUGCAGUAUUGAAAUACCUCCACCAGAAGAGCCAGAAUCAUCAUCAUAUAUUUCAUCCCAAGCAGAUCUUUUCUUACCAGAUAGGUUUUGAGGGACAGUCCUCCUCAACCUAACAGCACCAAACUUCUCUUCAUACUUAUUGUAAACAUCAGUAAGCCUAGCUCUAGUGCCAACCUGGUAAGCACUGUAAUCUGUACUGGUAAGGUUCCUCAACAACCUUAACACUUUUGAAAAACCCUUCAUUUUAGCUCUAGGGUCCAAGAUGAAUGCAAAAGAAUAGAGCAAAGGUAUGUCCCUCCAAUAUUUAUUAUAUUUGUCUACCAUAGGUUGAACAACAUCUCUUAGGUGAAUGUCAUUAUAGCAAUCUUAACCAAAUAAUGCAGCAUAAGUGGAGAUGUAGGAUAGUAAACACCAGACAAUGCAACAGUAGCAUCAUAGAACAGUUCAAGAAACUUAAGUAUUUUUUCAGCAACAGACCAAUGUUCUUCAGUUAAAAGCAAUUCACCUUGCUCACUUCUAGGAUAGUUUGCAUGCAUGAAAGUAGUGAAAGGUUCUUUGUGAGGAAACAAAGUCUUAAGCAUUAGAUAUGUAGAGUUCCACCUUACAUCCAUGUCCAACUGAAACUUUCUAGGCCUAUAACUAGCAGCAAUGCAAUAGUUCUUAUAUGCUGCUAUUCUUUGGUUAGAUGAGUUUAAAAAUGAUAUUGCAGUUCUAAAAACUUCAAUCAAAGGUUUAAGAUAUUCAAGUGCCUCCUUAACAAUCAGGUUUAUUAUAUGGCAUGCACAACGCUGAUGCAAGAACAUAGUACUAACAGCAGAUUCAGGAUGUCUUGGAUCCUCUGAAGGAACAUCAAGAUUAAGAUAGGUAGACAAAAUUGGUCUAAGCAAACGCAUGGCAGACACAUUAGAUGAAGCAUUGUCCAAAGUAACAGCAAACACCUUUUGAAGCACACCAUACUCAGCAAGAACAGAUGCAACUCUAUCAGCAAUGUUUUGUCUAUUAUGAGAACAGUCAAUAAGCACAAGACCAAGAACCCUCUUUUCAAGUUGCCAAUCAGGGUUUAUGUAAUGAGCAACAACACUAAGGUAAUCCUCCUUAGCUUUGCCAGACCAUAUAUCAGAAGUAAGGCACACACAAUUAAUUGCAUCAGAAGAUAACACCUCAACAAGCUUACUUUUUCUAUCAGAAAACAUUUUAGCCAAGUCUCUAGUAGUGGUUUGUGUAGAGACAGCCUUGAAUCUAGGAUUGUGAGCAUUAACAAUGUAUUCCUCAAAUGCAGCAGAUUCACCCAAGCUGAUAGCAACAUCUACCCUAGAAAGGAACCUACACAGUUCAGUACGAGCACGCAACGGACAGUACUCCCAAUUACGCAUAGAACCAUCAGGAUUAAAAGAGAUGUGGGUCUGACUAUACCCCCCUUAUUUUCUCUUUUCUCUUAGCACACUUAUCCCUAUGCCGACGGAGGUGGCCAGUGCCACUAGCAGAUCUACCAGAGUACUGCUUCUUACAGUGGAUGCAGAUGGCGCCAUACCUUAUUUCCUUACCUUUGGGACCCAUUUUGAAGAGCUUCUUGAAAUCAUUCCAUACAUCAGAGGUAGACGGACGGGAUAGAUGGUCGUCGUCGUCGCCGUCGCCGGCUUCGGCACCAGUUACGUCAGCUUCAAGGUCGAUGGGGUCCACUGCGUCAGCGCCUCUACCGGGUACAGCGUCAGGGCCGAAGAGCUCUUCAAGCUCUUCGUCGCCCAUGUCGUCCUCAUCGGAAUCACUAGGGAGGUCACGCUGCCUCUCCAUCUCUUCGGCCAUGGCAGUCACACUAGCCUCUGUCUCUGAGACAGGUAGACGGAGCCCCGGCCGGCAGCGUCCUGACGGAUCCGCCGCCUCCUAUCCUCAACCUUGAAACGGGUGGCGACGGCGACGGAGCAGCAGCUCCGAGCAGCAGCGAAUCGGCAGAUCUGCACAAACAAGGUGAACGAAUCAAAACAUUAGCAGCAGCAGAGGAAGAGAAGACAGUAGAGGAGUGGGGACUGGGGAAGCUUGCUGACCUGCUUUGUCGGAGCUCCGGCGAAGUAUCUGCCGUUGCUGCUGCCGGAGGCCAAGAUGUAGGCGUGGGCGCAACGGCGAUCCGCCGUCGCGCACGCCCCUGCUGGUCGCCCUUCGCCACGGUUGACGCCUGACGGAGACGACGGGGGAGGGGAGGGGAUUGGAGUCUUCGCGGCGGCCGAAAGCGCUCAGCGGCGGCCGGAAGCGGAGCAACGGAGAAAGAGGAAUGGAACUAGGGUUAGGGUCUGGAGUGAGGAAGGAAGCCGGAAGCGGAACGGGCGAACGGGGUCACCGGUGGCGGACUGGAGUGGGGGCGUGGCACUGGGAGCGGGCGAGCGGCCGGGCGGUUUAUAUAGCGCUGCGUCUCCAACCCUAAUGCCAACGGCUGAGAUCACUCGGGGCGGGGAUCCGACGGCUGCUGCGUCUCCAACCCCGUGCCUGAUGCGGGCCAGGCCGUUUAGCCGGGCCGUGCCCAUGCUGGCCCAUGGGCUGAAGUGGCGGCCCAGGCACGGGCACGAGUGCGGGCCGUGCCUGGCACGGGCACGUAGGCUGCCGGGCCGGGCCGUGCUUGGGCCGGGCUUUUCUGUGUCGUGCCUGGGCCGGCCCAGCGUGCCUGGCCCGUUUGGAAAAGUUUAACCAGCGAUGCCGAUACACCGUUCCAUAAAUAUUUUUUUCUCAUAAUAAAUCAAUAAAUAGUAUUUUCAACAAUAAUUUAUCAUCGAGAAUUUCGUGACCAAUCUCAACUCACAGAUAAUAACGAACAAAAAAAUUAAUACAUGUUCGAUGUAUCCUAGGAAUAUGAGAUGGAUGUAGAUUUGGCCUAUAAAGAAUUUAGUCAGCGUUGUCUACUGAGGAAACGAAAUAGAUUAUUGAUGUUCCAUUGUGAGCAACACACCACCCUGAUAUGCCAACCUCCCAUCAUUCCUAUGCUUAUCCUCACAUGACCACAAUUUGGAAAAAAUCUUGCAAUAACUAAUUAUUAGUUUACUCAUUUGUAGCUUACUUUUUAAUAUUAUGAGAUGCACUACAAAAUGAGGGGAAAGAAAAAAGUCUAAUAAAAAACAAAACAUCAUACUACAAGAAUUUUUUUUGCGAGAAAUACUACAAGAAUGAGAAAGUAAAAUGUGCGCAUGUGCUCUUAGCACAUGGACCAUCGGAUUCACAUUGAGAUGUGUGCGUGCACUUAUUAUACUAAGAUGUGUGCAUGUACAUUUCUUAAUACAAAUCCAGUGCUCUAUGUGCUAAGAGCACAUGUCCUUAAGGGAAAAAAAACCUUCCUGCAAGAAUAUGAAUACUAUGAAUUGUGGAUGAUAUAAUACAUUGGUGAUUUAUGGUUUGGUAGUUCUUGGCCCGUAACCUGUUCACACUGCAAUCUAAGGGUUUGUUGGUUACGAGUGGUAAAGUUUACCGCCCAUCACAUCAAAUGUUUGGACGCAUGAAGUACUAAAAUAAAUUAUUUAUGAAACUAAAAUUAUGGCUAGAGAGUAAUUAGAAAGAUGAAUAUUAUGAGCCUAAUUAGUCUAUGAUUAGACACUAAUUAUCAAAUAAAAUAAAAAUACUACAGUACUUGUUAAACUUUAACCACGCCAACCAAACACCCCCUAACUAUGCUUCCUUAAGUUUGGUUUUAUGACCUUGUUUAGUUUAUCCUAAAAUUCAAAAACUUUUUAAGAUUCUUCAUCACAUCGAAUCUUGCGUCACAUGCAUGGAGCAUUAAAUAUAGAUAAAAAAUAACUAAUUGUAUAGUUUGUCUGUAAUUUGUGAGACGAAUCUUUUAAACCUAGUUAGUCCAAGGUUAGACAAUAGUUAUCAAAUACUAUUAUGUCUCAUAAUGUCUGUUGUUUGGGAAUAUAACCGCUUUCACAAAUAAGCUUCCCAAGCGACGUAUAAAAUGGGACAGAGGUGGUACAAACGAAAGUACUGCACUAUAAUUGAUACCAGCUCAACCGUUACGGGCCCAUAGAAUGCAGAUCCAGCCCACCAUCUGGCGCUAACGGAUCCAGUUGCCUACUUCCUCGCGCACUCACAGUAAGGCCUUGUUUAUUUCCAAAAAAGUUUGCAAAAUAUAAACAGUAAAAUUUUCGUUUGUAUUUGACAAAUAUUGUCCAACCAUAGGCUAACUAGUUUAAAAGAUUCAUCUCGCAAAUUACAUGUAAACUUUGUAAUUAGUUACUUUUUUACUUAUAUUUAAUGCUUCAUGCAUGUGCCGUAAGAUUAGAUGUAACGAGGAAUCUCGAACAUUUUGCAAAAUAUUUGGGGAAGUAAACAAGCCCUAACAAACAAAUCAACGGUACUUCCUAGUGUCCACUUAUGAGAGGCAAUAUCUUAAUGCACAUAUUGGUCAAAAUAUUUAGGCCCCGUUUCGAUAUUUGGAAUUGAAUUUAUUUUAAUAAUUAUAAAAUGUUGGUAACAUUGUUUGGUAAAAGAGUUGUCGAUUUUUUAUAUGUGAAUUAUAUUUGUAUAUUAUUGUUGGCUAUAUUAGAAAGAUACUUAUGGUUUGUACUUCUACCAUAGGGGGAACGAGUUGAAGAGUGUGCUAUAAGAGCAACUCCAACAUAUAUGGUAUCCAUCUUAUCUAGGCUAUUUUUUAGAUUUUUGAAAUAAAAAUUAAAGUCUAAUAGGUGUGUUAUCUGGUUUACUAAAAUAACAAGUUUGCUAUCCCUAAAGUUUCGCUUGCCAUAGAUAGUACGUCGUCCUCACUAGCUAUCCUAUACCUAGGCUAUUGUAGAACUCUACACUUUAGGUGAGUUUUUUAUUUUACAAAAUAGCUAAAUCUUGUAGUUUAGAAUAUAAGUUUACCUAGUCUCUUGGAGAUGCUCUAAGUUGCAAAGUAGAAAUAUAGAAUGGUGAUCUAUAAAAUCAAAUUUCAUCUCCCACCUUAUGAAUUUAAGAUAGGUUUAUUAAGUAGAUUUUAAUUCCUCCAAAUGAAAUGGUCCAAACAGCCCCUUAUUGAUUUAUACAUAGCAAGACCAGGAACAGUAGACUUUAGGACCUGAUCAAAAUACUUAUAAUGAUCUUAUACAGUAUAUUCAGAAGGUCACUUUCAUGGAAUGGGAAUAUCUUGGUAACUAUACUCCAACAAGUUUGGCAGGAACAAACUGAGUCCUAGUUUGCUGAUCAAUUCAAAGAUCUCUUUGUGCCCAAAUAUCUGAAUUUGUUUGAAAAAUCUCAGGUUGUCAUGCACUGAAAUGUUCCUCAUUUAUAUGUUAUACAAAGAUAUCGCAAACCUGUGCAAGAUUUCAAACAAGGAUCCCAAAAUGCAAAUCUGUUGUCAUGAAAGAAAAAGAGGAUAACGUGACCUAUGCAAAUUCACACGAAAAUUUGGAAAGACUCACAACAAUCUUGCCGAAAAAGCACCAAGCUAGCGUCAUGCAUGAAAGAAGCCAAUCCUGUGCCUGUCCGUGCUUCCUCUUUUUCCUCUAUUUCAGUCAGUCACUCAUCCAUCCCGAUCUGCAGAGGCAAGCCAUCAGCGCGCGGCAGCAGCAGUUGACAACGAGAUCAUGACGAUGUGGGCUGCCACUGCCGGCCUGCCCUCGAGCUCUCCUACCUACUCUACGAGCCAGCGGUUCUUGGAGACAAGCAAAAUUAACGUAGCAAACACGGGUCGAGGUCGAGGAUGCUGGUCCAUGCGGACUGGCAUGGGGUUGGCCGAUUGGGCUGUCAACGCGCGCGUUGCAGUAUAGACUAUAGAGGGGGUAACGCUAAUGGACUGUGGAUUUCUGCAAAUAUUUUAAGCAAGUAGGAGAAGAAGAGAUUACAGCUCGCACUACAGUAGCACUACUGCGGCGACCAUGACUCAGCCUGCGAUCCUACCGGUACCGGCGCGGCCGUCGUCACCCGUCGACGCGGCGAGAGAUCGGACCUGCAGAGCGGGCACGUGACGUGCAUCUGCAGCCACGCGUCGAUGCAGCCGACGUGGAAGAGGUGCCGGCACUCGGGCAGGCUCCGCACCAUCUCGCCGCCGCGAAGGUCCUCCAGGCACACGGCGCACGUCGUCACUCCGUCUCCUCCGCCGCCCGCGGCCGCGGCGGGGCGGUGCUGCUGCUGGUACGGGGACUUGGGCAGCGCGCUGAUGUCUAUUUCGGCAAGCCCGCAGCACACGACUCUGCUGGCUCGCGCGGCGGCGGUGGGAAACGCCGUGCCGGUGCCAGCGGCAGCAGGACGACCCGCCGCGGCCGCGACGACGCCGGUCAGGCACCAGGUGGCGCCGGCGACGAGCACGGCGGCCAAGGCGACGAAGGCGCACGCCUCCCAGAUGAUGACGGACGCGGCGAGCACGCACGACGCGGCGAGCAGCGAGCAGGACUCCCCCGCCACGGUUGCCAAGCCGCCGUAGCCGCCGCCGAGGACGUCGUCGACAUAGACGACAGACUCGCCGGAGAGCACCGUCGGCGUCGUGUACAACCUUGGCAUGAUCGGUACAAGUAGAACGUAGUACUUUUUUGUGCUAUACACUCGCUAGCUGGCGCGGCACUUGCGGGCAAAGCGUUUAGCGCGCGCGGCAUUAAGUAGUCCGUCGCUGCUUCAUCAGGAGGCAGCGUCGUACCAACGCAUGCAGGUUAGGCCUUGUUUAGUUCCCAAAAAAUUUUGUAAAUUUUUUUCAGAUUUCCCGUUACAUCGAAUCUUUUAACGCAUACAUGAAGUAUUAAAUAUAGACAAAAAUAAAAACUAAUUACACAGUUUGGUCGGAAUUGACGAGACGCAUCUUUUGAGUCUAAUUAGUUAAUGAUUGAACAAUAUUUGUCAAAUACAAAAUGCUACAGUGUCGGUUUCCCAAAUUUUUUGGAACUAAACAAGGCCUUAGUACCACGGAGUAUAUUUAAUCAAAAAAUUUAGGAGCGCAUCAGGUUCAAAUAGAUUGCUGCGGAAACGGCAGUACGUAACCAUGUGUUCGUUGGCAAUGUUUAUCUUAUCGCCGUGUCCAGUCUGAACGCCGGUUGCAGCGCGUCUUUUGCGUCUAGAAGAUGAUGUUGGGUUGGCAGCGACAGGGGCGGACACUGAAAAUAUUGUAUAUACGCAACAAGGAAUAAAAUAUCUGUUCUGUUAAUUGGAUCUCCCGCGGUCUCGCCCAAGUGAACAAUUUGCUUAUCCACCAAUGCGUAGUUGUUGAAAAAUUAUAGAUUUAGGUCUUGUUUAGUUCCCAAAAAAUUUUGCAAAAUUUUUCAGAUUUUCCAUCACAUCGAAUCUUUAGACGCAUGUAUGGAGUAUUAAAUAUAGAUGAAAAUAAAAACUAAUUGCACAGUUUGGUCAAAAUUGACGAGACGAAUCUUUUGAGCCUAGUUAGUCCAUGAUUGGAUAAUUUUUGUCAAAUACAAACGAAAUUACUACAGUGUUGAUUUUGCAAAAUUUUUUGGAACUAAACAAGGCCUUAAGAGUGUUCUUCUUUUGGUGACAGACGGCGUACUAAUUGACAGUGCAAUAUCUAUUGAUCUUCUGGUGAUAGACAACGUACUAACUGACAGUGUGUGUGGUAUCUAUUGAAUUUAGUGGAGUCCAACAGCAAUGAGAACGGGCGGAUCAGAGGAGUUUUCGGGCCUUGGGUCUGCCAUGGAUGAACCAAGCUAAGUAAUUAAACAAACACAACCUCUAUAUCUGUUACAAUGAGAAGUGUUCUAAUUAACAGUUUCCAGGUUAGUCCAAACCUGAGUUGCAAUGAAGUGCGUCCAACACUUUUUUGAGAGCGGGAUCGAUUAGGUACGGUGAUUGAAAAUUGGUGGGAGGAGCAUGAAGCACAUCCAGGAGGCGUGUAGUAGUUUAAAACACAAAAUUAAAGUGGCUACUAAUCAAAUUUUGGCUUGUGAGAAGUGUUGCUGGUUGGGUGACCUCUCAACCUUCACCGAAGAGAAGGACGGAGGAUAUAGUGAAUGGACGGAUAGAUUUGAGUGACGUGGCAGCAAGAGGAUUGAGCUUCAAAAGAAUUUAUUGCUUAAUGGAUGGACGGGCCAAACAAGGCCUCUCGAACAACUGUAACUCAAAAUACAAAACUCAUUUUUCUUUUGGUAGUGCUACAGACAAAAAACAUCUAUUUUUAGUCUUCUUCAACAACAAGAUCUAAAAGACAUCACUUUCUACAAAUGGGUCUCGAGGAAAGAGGAUACCCAAAUUUAGAUUAUGCCUCUCUUGAUAUUUAAAAUGGGCCUUCUGUAUAAAUACUCUAUUUUUUUACUGGAACUGGAGGGGUUUGCACCCCUACAGAAAUUUUAUUAAAAACUUAGAAUUACAAACAAACUUUGGAGAAAGGUGAGGGGGAAGGAGCUGUUGGAGGCUAUAGGUAUUGUGUUGGAGUCCUAUUUUGGGUUUGAGUUCCAUAAUAGGUCUCCUAUUGGAGACAACCAAGAGUCUGCCUAAAAAAUUGCUUUCACUUUAGGCUCUGUUUAGAUUGAGGAUCAAAUUUUUUUGGGUGUCACAUCGGAUGCGUCGGAAGGAUGUUGGGAGAGGUUUUUAGAAACUAAUAAAAAAACAAAUUAUAUAGCUCGUCAGCAAACUGUAAGACAAAUCUAUUAAGUAUAAUUAAUCUGUCAUUAGCACAUGUUGGUUACUGUAGCACUUAAGGCUAAUCAUGGAGUAACUAUGCUUAAAAGAUUCGUCUCGCGAUUUUUAACCAAACUGUGUAAUUAGUUUAUUUUUUUAUCUACAUUUAAUGUUCCAUGCAUGUGUCCAAAGAUUCGAUGGGAUGAAUGAAAAAUUUUUGAGUGGAGAACUAAACAGGGCCUUAAUGUAUAGUGCACGUGUAACAUUGGAUUAAUCUAGAUCACACACAAGGUAGGGCUAGAUUGUACAGGCCGCCAUAGAUUGACGAAUGCAACGAGGAUGUCAUACUGACGUGGUGAAGAAUGCAGAAGUUUACAGGCCAAAGAUAGCUGUCACGCUUGCAUGAUGAAAAAUAACUAGUUUUUAGGCAAACUAACAAAGAAACUAUCCAAGCUCUCGCGUGGGUGGGAUCCUGUGGGGGCAAGGACUCGCCUGGGUGGGAUCCUGUGGGGCAAGGACGUCACCAAGUUGCUAGGUUGGUCGACAAGCCUAUGGUAGCAUUUUUGGUGAUUUUUUUUAUUUUUAGCCCAAAUUUAAAAUAUAUUUCAAAUUUGACCCGUUUAUGAAAAUAUUUUCAAAACUAAGCCGUUUGGAUCCGCCACCAUGCAUAACGGGGCAAAUGCACAGAACCCCGCCAUGUAUGGCGGCGGGAUACUACUGCUGACGUGGCAUGGUUCAGGGGACACCUAGUGACGUGUAUAACACGUGGCGGAGUACGUGGCAAAGAGUACCCUGCCACGCAUCAUGGCGAGAAGCAACCCCGCCGCGCAUCAUGGCGGGGUGCCCCCUGUGUGACAAAAUGGCCCACCCCUGCUUUCUCUGCGUUCCCUAGUGGCACUUUCAUUCAUUUGUGGUAAUUAUUGUCUGUAAAUUACACUAAUUAUACAGUUUGUCUGUAAAUCAUGAGACGAAUCUUUUAAGCAUAGUACUUUUUAAUUAGAUAAUUUUUAUUAAAUAAAAACAAAAUUGCUAUAAUGUUAAAAUCUAAAAAGUUUUUGGAUCUAAACAAGGAUAGACCAUAGUGUGUAGGUGUGGAGAGAGAGGGGUCAGGGUGCGCAUAGCAUGGGCAAAGUGACCACAUCAGUAAAUCAGAUUUCCCAAAAAAAUUUGGAAGCAAAGUGACCACGUGAGAGUUUAAUAAAAUCUUUAGGCGUAUAUUUCUAACUUCAAAUAAAUUUAUUCAAAAAUUAGAUUUAAAUAUCUGUCUAAUGAUACUAAUUUUAUAUUAUAAAUAUUAAUAUUUUUAAUAAAUAUUUAAUCAAAAAAUUUUUAUAAGAGCAAAAACGACAAAUAUUUAGGAAUAAAUAGGUAGCAUAGUACAAAUGCUGCUGCGGCACUGCAGCAGUCGCUGUAGCACUUGCCGUACGCUGUGGCGCUACAGUGCUGUGUUGUAUUAGUUCACCCGAAAUUCAAAAAGUUUUUAAGAUUUCUUGUCACAUAAAAUCUUGCGACACAUGCAUGAAAUAUUAAAUAUAGACAAAAACAAAAACUAAUCACACAGUUUGACUGUAAAUUGCGAGACGAAUCUUUUGAUUCUAGUUAGUCUAUGAUUGGACAAUAUUUACCACAAACAAACGAAAAUGCUACAGUAGCGAAAUCCAAAAAUUUUUCACAUCUAAACAAGGCCUAAAAAGAGCUACCUCUUUAUUAAAAAGAGCUACAGUGUGCAGCAGCAUACCGGCAAAUGUGUUGUACUGUGCUACCUCUUUAUUUCUAAAUAUUCGUCGUUUUCACUUCUUAUAAAAAUUUUGAUUAAAUAUUUAUUAAAAACAUUAAUAUUUAUAAUAUAAAAUUAAUAUCAUUAGAUAGAUAUUUAAAUAUAUUUUUUGAAUAAAUUUAUUUGAAGUUAGAAAUAUACGUCUAAAGAUUUUAUGUAACGAGGAAUCUGAAAAAUUUUACAAAUUUUUUUGAACUAAACAAGGACCAACACCCUAGACUACUGAUGUGGCCACUUUGCUCAUGCUAUGCGCAGCCUGACCCCUCUCUCUCCACACAUACACACUAUGGCCUGAUCGACCUUGUUUAGAUCUAAAAACUUUUUAGAUUUUAACAUUGUAGCAAUUUUGUUUUUAUUUAACAAAAAUUAUCUAAUUAUAAAGUAACUAUGCUUGAAAGAUUCGUCUCAUGAUUUACAGGCAAACUGUAUAAUUAAUGCAAUUUACAGACAAUAAUUACCACAAAUGAAUGAAAGUGCCACCAGGGAACGCAGAGAAAGGAGGGGGUGAGCCAUUUUGUCAGACAGGGGCACCCCGCCAUGAUGUGCGACGGGGUUGCCUCCGGCCAUGAUGCGUGGCGGGGUACUCUUUGCCACGUACCCCGCCACGUGUUAGCCACGUCAGCAGGUGUUCCCUGAACCAUGCCACGUCAGCAGUAGUAUCCCGCCGCCAUACAUGGCGGGGUCCUGUGCGUUUGCCCCGCCAUGAAUGGUGGCGGGUCCAAACGGCCUAGUUUUAAAAAUAUUUUCAUAAGCAGGUCAAAUUUGAAAUAUGUUUCAAAUUUGAGCUAAAAAUAAAAAAAUUCUCCUUGGUCAUCGGAUCAUGUAACGAAUAGCAACAUGAAGAUUGGAAGAGACUAAGGCAAAGAGAAAAUGUAUCUGUUGGGCACCUCAAUCAUUCAUGCACCUUAAUUAUAUAUUUAUUUACUAGUAGGAAUGGCGCGCCCCUGUGCGCCGAUUAUUAACAAAAUAGAUAAGCGAAUAGAAAGUAUUGGAAGCUGUUGAAUAUAUACAGAAUAAUAAGGUUUGUAAUAAAGUUUUGGUACACUAUAAAUGACAAUAGGAGGUGCCACUGCAUUAAGAUGGGAGAGUUUAACAGGAAAAGGGAACCAUCGUCAAGUGUCUGAUAAAGUUGUUGUAAGGUUAGUAUGAAGCAGGUUGAUGCCUAAAGUUCUAGCAAUUCUACUUGAGGAAAUAACAGAGGCAAUAUUUUAUAAACAUUAGUUCAUGAGUAGGCGCUGCCAAUUGAAAGCUACAAAAUUCAUGAGGCCUGACCCUUGUCAUUCUACAAAAGAAGAUGACCCACGUUUAAGAUGGUGGUGCACCCUGCGAUAGCAAAGAAGAAAUUGUUUAAAGGAUUUUGUAACAUAUAAAUCAACGAAAGAUUUAGGAGUAUUGUUGACAAGGCACAUUUCUGAGGUAUUACAAAACAAUAUUAUUAGGAGUUAAAAAUAUCUGAGGUUGUGUACAAUAUUAUUCCAAAUUAGAUUGAAAAUGAUUAAUUACUAAUAUAGCUCACAAAUAAUAUGUGUACAUGAAGUGGAGCACUAAAAUGAUAAACUUGAAUGUUUGAUAUAUUGGCUACUCCAAAACUGCACAUUUUGUGUAAGUUAUAUGUAUGUAUACAUGUAUUUUUUGUUUAUCUAGCAACCAAAAGACUUUGGUAAUAUGGGUUUGAGUUUUUUUUACCUAUUUUCUGGAUCCAUCGGUCUUAUGCCUAGUCAUUGUUGCUGCUUACCUUUUAGCUUUCCGGUGGACAAAAUUGUUGAUAAGUCAAAUAACAAAAAAACAGAAAGACGACCAAAAUCAGAUAGGAACCUACUAAAAGUAACACCAUUCAGCAGGCUGAACACAAAGUACUCUGAAAGGAAAAUAUGGUAGCAAUUUAGAGCUGAUCAGAUUACGGUAGAAAUACUGAGCUGCAUUAUAGGAAACCAGAAUAAAAUUUCAUAAACAUUGCAACUCUUUCAAAAGGAACAAUCCUCCAAAUACAAACAAAUGCAACUUCAGUUACAGGCAUGAGAAGAGGGCUCACUAAGUAACUUAAAUACAAACUAUGACGCAAAUGGCACGUAGUUCAAGCUUAACAAAAAUACAGAUAAAGCUACAUGAACAUGUACAUGGAGCCUGUCUAUGAGUUUGCAUAUCAGUUCUUUUACAGUUCUUUUACAGAGAGAUCAUGUAGGAAAACAAAACCAGAGAAACACAAAACAGGGAAACAUGAGAGCAUUUGAUUAAGUAUUGUAGGACCAAAUAAAUUAAUCUACUCUGACAGUAAUGUAAAUGUUUUUUGGCGACAAUAAGUUUU